GGGAAUGUAAAAACAGUGACUGCACUCGGAGAAGCUUUUACUGUGACACCUUCGGACCGGGGUUCGACUCCCCGCACCUCCACCA
This 85-nucleotide transfer RNA is filed under the name Thermoanaerobacterium thermosaccharolyticum. RNAcentral describes it as "tRNA-Ser". It matches the Rfam family "transfer-messenger RNA", at positions 289 to 374 of the family's 374-position model. From Rfam's summary of the family: Bacterial tmRNA, also known as 10Sa RNA or SsrA, is named for its dual tRNA and mRNA-like properties. Its role is to liberate the mRNA from a stalled ribosome. To accomplish this part of the tmRNA is used as a reading frame that ends in a translation stop signal. The record is from RNAcentral. Lineage: Bacteria; Bacillati; Bacillota; Clostridia; Thermoanaerobacterales; Thermoanaerobacteraceae.